GGCAAUUGUAACCGACUAGGAUUAGUUUCUAGAUCUGUAACCCUGCCCUCCAGACUAUAUAAGGAGGGGCAAGGGACCCCCCUAGGACACAUCAUAUUCUCUCAACACAAAUCAAUACGACCAGACGCAGGACGUAGGUAUUACGCCAACUCGGCGGCCGAACCUGGAUAAAAAGCUUGUCCGUGUCUUGCGUCACCAUCGAGUUCGUAGUUUGCGCACCGUCUACCGAUAAACUACUACCGUGGGUAUACCCCAAGGUAGACUGCCGACUAGCUUUCGUCGACAGCCCCUUUUUAUUUUCUCGUAUAUUUUUGCAUAACCCAUGCCUCUUCGGCAUUGAAUCUUUUUAGAGAGAGAGAAUAACAAUAUUCGAGACAGUGAGUAAAAAUAUUUUUAGCAAUUUUAAUGAUUGAUGAUGGAUGCUGUGGUAGAUGCGUGCAAGUGAAUAUCUUAAUUUAACCGCAUGAAAAGCUCCUAAGGGUCUACACAGCUCGAUCAAACUCAAUGUGAAUAUAGUAAAAGAUGUUAUAGCAAGUAUGGCUGUGGUAGGUAGUUUUGUUAUGCUAGGAACUCAUCAUGUGAUUUGUAAGUUUUCAAAAAUAAAUCUCUAGAACUUGGUGUAGUAGGAACAAGAUAAACAGUGGCUCAACUUUAUAUCAUGCCUUUCUCUUACUAGACUUUAGUUUUAUGCUUCCCAAAGAUAGUAAUUUUAGUUUUAGUAAUUCCUGGAAGAAUUCUAAUAUAAAAGCUAGGUACUUGUAAGUGAGCAAACAGAGCAACUAUUCAUCAUUUCCAUCAUGUAUAUUUUUUGUCUUUUUUAUUUUUUUUCUAGAGAUUAAACUUAGCAGAAAAAUAAAACACACUUAUCUACACACUCUUUUUAUUUUGUUUUCAUGUUUAUAAAGUGCAGUAAAUUAAAGCAAGAAAAUAUUUAUUUGGUUUUCUAAGCUUUUCCUUUUAAGAUAAAUUAAAUACUAAGACAGAAUAGAAUAAAUAAGAAGAGCAAAUAAAAACUUACUUGAUAAAUUUGGGAGGAACUCCCCCAAGCUGGAUGUUGACGUCGGUCUUACCCGAUGUUCCAGAACCGCAUCAUGGUUGUGAUGUUGUUAUUCAUUGUUGUUGUAUCUUGUCUUAGCUCUUGUACUGCAGCGGCAUGGUCCUGGUUCCAUUUUUGUUGUUCUUCUAGGAGUCUUCCAUGUUCUGCUUGCGUGUUCUGGAUGUCGAGGAGGGUGUUGUCGGUACGAGUGAAGAAAGCACCGGCCUCUUGAUAGUAGUCAUUCGUGAAGGCGUAGGAGGCGUCGGAGUAUCGUCCUGCAUCCAAUUGGGGCGGAGGUCUGGAUCCUGAAGCUCUGUAUGGAUCAGUGGAGUACCUGCCCGUAUGAAAAGGCGGGUUUGUCCACUGGUGAUCUUGGCUCUCUAGCCAUGUCUCCUCUGUCGGCUCUUGUGGUUGCGCAGGACGAGCCCAUGGGUCUCGAAGGACUCGAGGGUUAUAAUCGCAAUAAUGCAGGUGUGCUGCUUCUUCUGGUCCAGGGUCAGCUCCAUACCAAGUGCGUUCUCGGUGAGUGGUUAUCCUUUCAGAUGCCACUCGUUGUGG
This 1594-nucleotide long non-coding RNA is filed under the name Sorghum bicolor (sorghum). RNAcentral describes it as "long non-coding RNA (SBIC_LNC005301)". The record is from RNAcentral. Lineage: Eukaryota; Viridiplantae; Streptophyta; Magnoliopsida; Poales; Poaceae.